ACCUGUGGAUUCACUCUGGGACAAUUGAUGCUUUGAUGAAAUAGGGGGAAAUUAUAUAAAAAUACAACUCAAGGGAUAUUAAAUAGCAAAAUUUGUUUCUGGCAUCCAGGGUUAUUUGGCAAAGAAAGAGCAAACAAGUGACUGUUUUUCAUGCCUUUCAUAUGAUGACAAACCUAUUCUAUUCUGCUUUGCACUUAAAAUUUACAUUGAAAAUGCAAUUGAACCUUUGGUUUAGUAGUUCAGUACGCUACAGGUAACCAGGGAGCAAUGUUCAGUAAAUACCGUGCUA
This 289-nucleotide long non-coding RNA is filed under the name Homo sapiens (human). Its description in RNAcentral is "HSALNT0336682". Lineage: Eukaryota; Metazoa; Chordata; Mammalia; Primates; Hominidae. The record is from RNAcentral.